RNAcentral lists this ribosomal RNA (550 nucleotides) under uncultured bacterium. RNAcentral describes it as "bacterial SSU rRNA". It matches the Rfam family "Bacterial small subunit ribosomal RNA", at positions 355 to 896 of the family's 1533-position model. The record is from RNAcentral.
UAGGGAAUCUUCGGCAAUGGACGGAAGUCUGACCGAGCAACGCCGCGUGAGUGAAGAAGGUUUUCGGAUCGUAAAGCUCUGUUGUAAGAGAAGAACGAGUGUGAGAGUGGAAAGUUCACACUGUGACGGUAUCUUACCAGAAAGGGACGGCUAACUACGUGCCAGCAGCCGCGGUAAUACGUAGGUCCCGAGCGUUGUCCGGAUUUAUUGGGCGUAAAGCGAGCGCAGGCGGUUAGAUAAGUCUGAAGUUAAAGGCUGUGGCUUAACCAUAGUAGGCUUUGGAAACUGUUUAACUUGAGUGCAAGAGGGGAGAGUGGAAUUCCAUGUGUAGCGGUGAAAUGCGUAGAUAUAUGGAGGAACACCGGUGGCGAAAGCGGCUCUCUGGCUUGUAACUGACGCUGAGACUCGAAAGCGUGGGGAGCAAACAGGAUUAGAUACCCUGGUAGUCCACGCUGUAAACGAUGAGUGCUAGGUGUUAGACCCUUUCCGGGGUUUAGUGCCGUAGCUAACGCAUUAAGCACUCCGCCUGGGGAGUACGACCGCAAGGUUG